AUCUAAUCUAUAUAUACAUUUUUG
This 24-nucleotide small nuclear RNA is filed under the name Arabidopsis thaliana (thale cress). RNAcentral describes it as "snRNA_15194". The record is from RNAcentral. Lineage: Eukaryota; Viridiplantae; Streptophyta; Magnoliopsida; Brassicales; Brassicaceae.